This 468-nucleotide ribosomal RNA is filed under the name uncultured bacterium. Its description in RNAcentral is "partial 16S ribosomal RNA". It matches the Rfam family "Bacterial small subunit ribosomal RNA", at positions 28 to 507 of the family's 1533-position model. The record is from RNAcentral.
GACGAACGCUGGCGGCGUGCUUAACACAUGCAAGUCGAACGGAAAGGCCCUGCUUUUGUGGGGUGCUCGAGUGGCGAACGGGUGAGUAACACGUGAGUAACCUGCCCUUGACUUUGGGAUAACUUCAGGAAACUGGGGCUAAUACCGGAUAGGAGAUCCUGCUGCAUGGUGGGGGUUGGAAAGUUUCGGCGGUUGGGGAUGGACGCGCGGCUUAUCAGCUUGUUGGUGGGGUAGUGGCUUACCAAGGCUGUGACGGGUAGCCGGCCUGGGAGGGUGACCGGCCACAUGGGGACUGAGGGACGGCCCAGACUCCUACGGGAGGCAGUAGUGGGGAAUAUUGCACAGUGGGCGGAAGCCUGAUGCAGCGACUCCGCGUGCGGGAUGACGGCCUUCGGGUUGUAAACCGCUUUCGCCGGUGACGAAGCGUGAGUGACGGUAAUGGGUAAAGAAGCACCGGCUAACUACGUG